Molecule: small nuclear RNA, 107 nt
Filed under: Echinops telfairi (small Madagascar hedgehog)
Lineage: Eukaryota; Metazoa; Chordata; Mammalia; Afrosoricida; Tenrecidae
Source: RNAcentral
GGGUUUGCUUCGGCAACACAUGUGCUAAAAUUGGAAUGAUACAGAGAAGAAUAGCAUGGCACCUGCGCAAGGAUGACACGCAAAUUCAUGAAGCAUUCCAUAUUAAA